This 478-nucleotide ribosomal RNA is filed under the name uncultured bacterium. Its description in RNAcentral is "partial 16S ribosomal RNA". It matches the Rfam family "Bacterial small subunit ribosomal RNA", at positions 28 to 523 of the family's 1533-position model. The record is from RNAcentral.
GACGAACGCUGGCGGCGUGCUUAACACAUGCAAGUCGAACGGUAAGGCCCUUCGGGGUACACGAGUGGCGAACGGGUGAGUAACACGUGGGUGAUCUGCCCUGCACUUCGGGAUAAGCCUGGGAAACUGGGUCUAAUACCGGAUAGGACCACUGCCUGCAUGGGUGGUGGUGGAAAGCUUUUGCGGUGUGGGAUGGGCCCGCGGCCUAUCAGCUUGUUGGUGGGGUGAUGGCCUACCAGGGCGACGACGGGUAGCCGGGCUGAGAGGGUGACCGGCAACACUGGGACUGAGAUACGGCCCAGACUCCUACGGGAGGCAGCAGUGGGGAAUAUUGCACAAUGGGCGCAAGCCUGAUGCAGCGACGCCGCGUGAGGGAUGACGGCCUUCGGGUUGUAAACCUCUUUCAGCACCGACGAAGCGCAAGUGACGGUAGGUGCAGAAGAAGGACCGGCCAACUACGUGCCAGCCGCCGCCGUAA